Molecule: transfer RNA, 73 nt
Filed under: Ixodes scapularis (black-legged tick)
Lineage: Eukaryota; Metazoa; Arthropoda; Arachnida; Ixodida; Ixodidae
Rfam family: tRNA
About the family: Transfer RNA (tRNA) molecules are approximately 80 nucleotides in length. Their secondary structure includes four short double-helical elements and three loops (D, anti-codon, and T loops).
Source: Rfam by way of RNAcentral
UUCUGGUUAGCUCAGUUGGUAGAGUGUUCUACUUAAAAUGGAGAGGUCCCCGGUUCGGUACCUGGACCAGGUG